This 254-nucleotide ribosomal RNA is filed under the name uncultured bacterium. RNAcentral describes it as "partial 16S ribosomal RNA". It matches the Rfam family "Bacterial small subunit ribosomal RNA", at positions 524 to 776 of the family's 1533-position model. The record is from RNAcentral.
UACGUAGGGACCAAGCGUUGUUCGGAUUUACUGGGCGUAAAGGGCGCGUAGGCGGCAAUUCAAGUCAUCUGUGAAAUCUCCGAGCUUAACUCGGAACGGUCAGAUGAUACUGUUUUGCUAGAGUACAGAAGGGGCAAUCGGAAUUCUUGGUGUAGCGGUGAAAUGACGUAGAUAUCAAGAGGAACACCUGAGGUGAAGACGGGUUGCUGGGCUGAUACUGACGCUGAGGCGCGAAAGCUAGGGUAGCAAACGGG